Molecule: long non-coding RNA, 649 nt
Organism: Hippoglossus stenolepis (Pacific halibut)
Lineage: Eukaryota; Metazoa; Chordata; Actinopteri; Pleuronectiformes; Pleuronectidae
Exons: 2
Source: RefSeq, a predicted model, not a curated record
GGGAGGAGCAGCGGGGGCAGGAGCAGCAGGAGGAGCAGCGGGAGGAGCGUGCGGGUCUGACCGGGGCUGGUGGCGCUGGUGCUCGGCUCGCAGAGGGAGACGCGGUCGUGCGCAUCGCGUCGGAGCGGAUCUGAAUCAGGAACAGUCAACAACUAUGGGAUGGAUCACCUCGACCCCGGUGGACGGAUGUGGAAUGGGUCAAGGAAGAACUCGUUAAGUUUAAUCUGGAUCAGGGAUCUUGGAUUUAUUUCACUUUUAUUAUUGUGAAAAUGAUGAUGAUGAUCUUCGUGUUAACUGUGAAUCCCAACGAGUCUUCAAAAUAUGAAUUCCUUCUUCCCGUGCUCGUCAGUCUCUACACAGCAGACGGAUAAUAAUAUAUAAUAACAACAAACUCACUGUUCCGGUCAGAUGCAGAGCUUUUAAACCCGCUGUGCAGACAGUCAGUCUGCCGGCUUCAAUGAAAGGAAACGCCUUAAUGUGAUAUUAAUUGAUUUUUAACUUUGCAGAUCAAUACUUGCAACACCACACACAUCUACUGUGCAGAGCCUUGAUGUUGUCAGGAGCUCAGUGGGAGAAGGUUUCAGAAGAGCUCAAACCUCCACCAAGGACCAACUGUCAAUAAAUUCAACCAAGCUGCACAAACUCAUGA